GCCUACGGGAGGCAGCAGUGAGGAAUAUUGGUCAAUGGCCGGAAGGCUGAACCAGCCAAGUCGCGUGAGGGAUGACGGCCCUAUGGGUUGUAAACCUCUUUUGCCGGGGAGCAAAGUGCCGCACGUGUGCGGUUUGGAGAGUACCCGGAGAAAAAGCAUCGGCUAACUCCGUGCCAGCAGCCGCGGUAAUACGGAGGAUGCGAGCGUUAUCCGGAUUUAUUGGGUUUAAAGGGUGCGUAGGCGGUCCGUUAAGUCAGCGGUAAAAUUGCGGGGCUCAACCCUGUCGAGCCGUUGAAACUGGCAGA
RNAcentral lists this ribosomal RNA (305 nucleotides) under uncultured bacterium. Its description in RNAcentral is "bacterial SSU rRNA". It matches the Rfam family "Bacterial small subunit ribosomal RNA", at positions 337 to 640 of the family's 1533-position model. The record is from RNAcentral.